GCUAAUCAUCAUAUAAAAUAUAUAUAGAUAAUAAGAAAAUAAAUCAGUAGAAAUAAUAAAGGUUCCCAAUUAUUAUUAACUAAUUUGUCUUAUAUCAUUAUAGUAAAUAGCAAAUCCAAUAAGGAAAUAAGAACUACCGAGUACAGAGAUGUAUUUUAAACUUACAGCCAAUAUCAUGAUAUUCAGAUUCAUCCAACUACUGCAUAUUUGUAACAACCAUUACCUUAGCAAUGAAUCCUUCAAAAAUUAGGGACAAAAAUCAGAAAAACAAUCAGGCAGAAACACAACAGAACAUUCAUAUAAAAGAAAAUUCUGAAUAAAUAAAUAUAAGCAUGUUGUGUAGUUUAGCCGUAGAAGCUCUGAAACUUUAAAAUCAUAAAUUUUUCCUCUUCUUACUACUUCACAUUCUUUUUCCUUGACUUAGGUAGCACCCUGAAAAAAAGUAAUCAAACCAACAAAUAAAUAGAAAAUGAGUAAUUAAAGAAUAAUUAUGAAAGCAACAUUAAUG
Molecule: long non-coding RNA, 508 nt
Filed under: Trifolium pratense (red clover)
Lineage: Eukaryota; Viridiplantae; Streptophyta; Magnoliopsida; Fabales; Fabaceae
Description: long non-coding RNA (TPRA_LNC011259)
Source: RNAcentral